CAAGUGGAGCGGAGUCAGUGGUGGCAAUAGGGUGGAGGUGCAGCCGCAGAGAGACGAGCCGAAGCAGAGAGAGUGGCAGUAGCAGAAAUCCCAGGUCUCGGGGGACCCUCACAAGGCGUGGGCAGUGCCUCCUGGCAGGAUGGGAGAGGAGAGAGGACAGGGUGAACCGCGCCCUUCUGGAGAACUGAGAGAAGGCAGUCACUGGCAUCUUCCCAGCCCAGGAAUCAAACUGGAGACUCCUGCUUUUGCAGAUGGAUUCUUUACUAAUGAGCCACCAGCAUGUACACACAGCAUUCCUGAGGAGUCAACUUUACUAUAGCAUCCUGGGAAGGAAGGUUGUGAAAGAUUGGAAUUACUUGUCUCCUGAGUAUUUGUUAGACCUCAACUGUGAAACUACUUGACCUUGAGGAACUACUGCAGAGGAAGAGGAGGAGGAGACUCCUGAUUUUAUCCUGGAUUUUAAAAAAAAGGACGUUAAUGGGAAAACUUGUGAUACUCAAUUAUAGUCUGAAGAUUAGUUAAUACUACUGUACCAAAGUUGACCAAGCAACUGGACACACACACACAUACACAUCAAAGUUGACAUAGCUUUGAUUAGUUGUCUUGAGGCUAUAUAAAAUGUUAACAACAGGGGAAGCUGAGUUAAAGCAUAUCAGAACUUUUGCUACUAUUUUUGGAACAUUUAGUAAGGCUACAAUUAUUUCAAAAUAAAAAAAGUUUUUUAAGUGGAGAGGGAAGAGUUUGAUGAAAAGUAAAGGAAGACAAUCAUUGAAGCUGAGUGGUGGAUAUAGAGGAGCUUGUUUUAUGAUUCUCUCUACUUUGUUUUGUAUGAUUGAAAAUUAAUACAAAAAAUUGUUUAAGGAAAACAACUACAGCAAAAAAUUUAUCUGGUCUUGAUUUUUAUUUUAUGGGAUAAUUCUUUUUCCUUUUUUAAAAAACCUUUUUAAU
Molecule: non-coding RNA, 948 nt
Organism: Odocoileus virginianus texanus
Lineage: Eukaryota; Metazoa; Chordata; Mammalia; Artiodactyla; Cervidae
Source: RefSeq, a predicted model, not a curated record